This 365-nucleotide ribosomal RNA is filed under the name uncultured beta proteobacterium. RNAcentral's name for it is "bacterial SSU rRNA". It matches the Rfam family "Bacterial small subunit ribosomal RNA", at positions 242 to 599 of the family's 1533-position model. Lineage: Bacteria; Pseudomonadati; Pseudomonadota; Betaproteobacteria. The record is from RNAcentral.
UAGCUAGUUGGUGAGGUAAAGGCUCACCAAGGCGACGAUCUGUAGCGGGUCUGAGAGGAUGAUCCGCCACACUGGAACUGAGACACGGUCCAGACUCCUACGGGAGGCAGCAGUGGGGAAUUUUGGACAAUGGGGGCAACCCUGAUCCAGCCAUGCCGCGUGAGUGAAGAAGGCCUUCGGGUUGUAAAGCUCUUUCAGCCGGGAAGAAAACGCAUGGGUUAAUACCCUGUGUGGAUGACGGUACCGGAAUAAGAAGCACCGGCUAACUACGUGCCAGCAGCCGCGGUAAUACGUAGGGUGCGAGCGUUAAUCGGAAUUACUGGGCGUAAAGCGUGCGCAGGCGGUUUUGUAAGACAGGUGUGAAA